UCUUCAAAAUGUUGUGUCAAAAUAAAUCGUAGAUAAACUCUUUCAAAUACAGUCUUUUUGGAUCUAACUAGUUAGCUAGCUGAAGUGUGUGAUAUGGGUGUGUCUUAAACUUUAUUUGGAUCGAUAGAAUAUGGUGGAAUAGAGUGAUAACUAAUGAAGGUUUUUUAUUUAUAUAUUUAAAAAAUGAGUGGAAGGGAGUGGGAUAUGAUGGAAUCUAUACCAUCUCAUUUCAUCGUCUUUCUUCAUUUCCUUUCCCUUCAAUUUUGGAUGGAUCUACAUGCACCUUCACAGAAUCUAUAUUACGCAACUGUGGUUUGCGCACCGGGCUUUUCACUUCUCCUCAUCUAAUUGAUAUACGAGAAAGAUUUCGUUUAGAUGGUGUGGAAAUCUGUGAAGAGAAAUUUUUAGCAUAUUUCUGGUGGUGUUAUGAUAGACUAAAGGAAAAAACUGAUGACAAUGCUCCAAUGCCUACCUUUUUUCACUUCCUUGCCUUCAAGAUAUUUGCAGACGAGCAGGAUAAGAAGCUCCCAAGGUAAUGCCACAUAAAACUUCAGGGGUACCGAGACAGUUUGUUUGGACACUGCCUUCAAAAGCUCUUUCUCACUAUGACUAGGAACAUCUUUGUAGCACAACAACUCCCUGCUGGCCCAAUCAAACAUCACCAAAAAGGAAAUGUGAUUCAAAUAAUGAGUUAUAAAGAAAUAUAUAUUUUAAUAUUAAAUAAUUUAGAGAUU
This is a non-coding RNA of Cicer arietinum (chickpea), 734 nucleotides long. Lineage: Eukaryota; Viridiplantae; Streptophyta; Magnoliopsida; Fabales; Fabaceae. The record is from RefSeq and is a predicted model, not a curated record.